Molecule: long non-coding RNA, 418 nt
Organism: Ochotona curzoniae (black-lipped pika)
Lineage: Eukaryota; Metazoa; Chordata; Mammalia; Lagomorpha; Ochotonidae
Exons: 2
Source: RefSeq, a predicted model, not a curated record
CACACAGUUCACGGGUUUCUGAAACUGUUGGAUUUAUUUCCUGCACUGUCUGUGCUUGCUGUCCCAACCCAUGCACCUUCCUAUGAGAGACUGAGUCUCUCAGCAAAACAGCCUUUAACUUAAAGAAACUAUAGAUGAAUCAGGUCUGGAAGGGAUUUCUUUUCAGGUCUGGGAGGGAGUUGGGUUUUGUUUGUUUGUCUGUUUGUUUCAAAUGAUGUGCCUUUCCACUAAUAUGGUUGUUCUACUCCCCAAACAGAAAAGUUUCUGGACAAGAUACCAAAAUUCCCUGGAUUCUCUUGAAGGUGGGGAGAAUCUAACUGCAGGUAGAAUUUCCCCCAUGGGAAAAACUGCAGCCAUCAUCGAACUCAAAGCCUUGGCCACCCUUCUGGCCCCGAGCCAUUAAAGUUAAAGCAUCUAA